GGGGCUGUAGCUCAGUUGGUAGUAGCGUCUGGCUGGCAGCCAGAAGGUCAGGGGUUCGAGUCCCCUCAGCUCCA
This 74-nucleotide transfer RNA is filed under the name Actinomycetota bacterium. Its description in RNAcentral is "tRNA-Ala". It matches the Rfam family "tRNA". Rfam says of the family: Transfer RNA (tRNA) molecules are approximately 80 nucleotides in length. Their secondary structure includes four short double-helical elements and three loops (D, anti-codon, and T loops). Further hydrogen bonds mediate the characteristic L-shaped molecular structure. tRNAs have two regions of fundamental functional importance: the anti-codon, which is responsible for specific mRNA codon recognition, and the 3' end, to which the tRNAs corresponding amino acid is attached (by aminoacyl-tRNA synthetases). tRNAs cope with the degeneracy of the genetic code in two manners: having more than one tRNA (with a specific anti-codon) for a particular amino acid; and 'wobble' base-pairing, i.e. permitting non-standard base-pairing at the 3rd anti-codon position. Lineage: Bacteria; Bacillati; Actinomycetota. The record is from RNAcentral.